Molecule: unclassified non-coding RNA, 240 nt
Filed under: soil metagenome
Description: partial contains 5.8S ribosomal RNA, internal transcribed spacer 2, and large subunit ribosomal RNA
Source: RNAcentral
AACAUCGCGCACCUGCGGGAACCUGCGGAAGGAUCAUUAAUGAUUGGUGGCUGUUGCUGACUAGUGUUUCUAGUAUGUGCACGCCACACCUUCAAUCUCACUUACACCUGUGCACCUUCUGUAAUAGAUCUAUGUGGAUACGGAGAUGUGAAAGUUUGCGCUCUCCUACUCUGUUGAAGCAGUCUACUACGUUUUUUUACACACACACACACAAUAGUCAUUGAAUGUAUUUUUUAUUCU